AACGAACGCUGGCGGCAGGCCUAACACAUGCAAGUCGAACGCUGUAGCAAUACAGAGUGGCAGACGGGUGAGUAACGCGUGGGAACCUACCCUUUGGUUCGGAAUAGCUCAGGGAAACUUGAGGUAAUACCGGAUAAGCCCUUCGGGGGAAAGAUUUAUCGCCAAAGGAUGGGCCCGCGUCGGAUUAGCUAGUUGGUGGGGUAACGGCCUACCAAGGCGACGAUCCGUAGCUGGUCUGAGAGGAUGAUCAGCCACACUGGGACUGAGACACGGCCCAGACUCCUACGGGAGGCAGCAGUAGGGAAUAUUGGACAAUGGGGGCAACCCUGAUCCAGCCAUGCCGCGUGAGUGACGAAGGUCUUCGGAUUGUACAGCUCUUUUGGCGGGGAAGAUAAUGACGGUACCCGCAGAGUAAGCCCCGGCUAACUUCGUGCCAGCCGCCGCCGUAA
This 449-nucleotide ribosomal RNA is filed under the name uncultured bacterium. RNAcentral's name for it is "partial 16S ribosomal RNA". It matches the Rfam family "Bacterial small subunit ribosomal RNA", at positions 29 to 523 of the family's 1533-position model. The record is from RNAcentral.